UGUGGCUGUGAGGGUAAUUACAGGCAGUGGCCCCUAGAGGCAAUAUAUAAAGAUCAAGGUGCUCGCUGGCCAGGAUGGGCAUCUUCUGGUCCUUGGAACCGCCCACUUCCGGUUGUGGACUUCCAGGUUGCCUUACAGCUCUGGAUAACCAAACAAAUGGCAAUCGCGUCUGAGCUUGAAUAAAGCCCCUGCAUUUCGCGUGCCGCUAUUCUGUUCCUCUCAAGUGACAAACAGUCGGCCAGGGACUUUCUGGUGCUCCCGCUAAUAUUGGAGCAGCUGCUGUUUAUUUAAUCUGAAUUUCUGGACGACUUCACGUUCACUUGCUCUUCACUACGCUGUGUACGUCGAGGAUUCUGCUGGGGUGGCUCUCGCCGCAACGUCCGUCGGAGGUGCAGGAGGAAGGUGUACCAGGGCACUCCCGGACUCUG
Oryzias melastigma (Indian medaka) is the source of this 428-nucleotide long non-coding RNA. RefSeq lists it as uncharacterized. The transcript has 3 exons. The record is from RefSeq and is a predicted model, not a curated record. NCBI's taxonomy places the organism in Eukaryota, Metazoa, Chordata, Actinopteri, Beloniformes, Adrianichthyidae.